Molecule: ribosomal RNA, 253 nt
Filed under: uncultured bacterium
Lineage: Bacteria
Description: partial 16S ribosomal RNA
Rfam family: Bacterial small subunit ribosomal RNA
Source: RNAcentral
UACGUAGGGUGCAAGCGUUGUCCGGAAUUAUUGGGCGUAAAGAGCUCGUAGGCGGUCUGUCGCGUCUGCUGUGAAAACUCAGGGCUUAACCCUGAGCUUGCAGUGGGUACGGGCAGACUAGAGUGCGGUAGGGGAGACUGGAAUUCCUGGUGUAGCGGUGAAAUGCGCAGAUAUCUGGAGGAACACCGGUGGCGAAGGCGGCAUCCUGGACCGGUAUUGACACUGAGGCGCGAAAGCCAGGGGAGCAAACGGG